AAUUUGAAUAAAAUUUUGAUGUUUAUAAUGUAAGUUGUAUUUUUCUUUUGGCGAAUAUCAGAGAGACUGUCGAUGAUUUUACUCAUCGUCAAGCGUCAACUCUUCCAAAUUUGGUAGAAAAAUCAAAAAUGUCUCAAUGAAAUGAUUGAAAUCAAACAGGUAGAGUAUGAACAUGAACUAUGAAGUAACACCGGUCUCAAGUUGAAUUGCACUGCACAUCGGCGUAUUAAAACAGCAACAGCAUUCCUUCGUGUUAAAAAUGGAAAGUGUUUCAAAUAUCGCGAACCCUGUCAAUGGGAUACAGAUUAUCCAGAGUUUAAUGUAUGAGAUAGACGUAAAAAAAAGAACGAUCUCGCGAGAAUUGUAUGCUAAAUUAUUAGCAAAUUGUGCAAUGAUACAAAAUGGAAUUGCAAUGUGUAAAACAGAAGAAUUCGAUCCUUUUCAUAACACAAAGUGCCAUCGGUAUAAAUGCAUGCUUGGGGAAGAAUUCCAGAUAACCUAUAUUGAUUUUAACGAAAAACAAGGAAACUUUACGUCUAUCAUACUUCACCAUAUGGACCUAGCCAAAAACGUGCCUCAAAACGGUGCCCUUGUUGACGUUCUUGGUCUUCCCUUUCAUCUCAAAUGUGAAUCAUCUUUACGUACUCCGGACAGUAUGAUGCUCGCCAUUCGGGAUGCAAAUGAAUUAAUCUACGAAAUAGACUCAAAAUUCGGACAAAUGUAUGAAAAAGUAUUGCCCGGUUCUAAUGCUCCCUUGGCGAAUAAGAAUGCUCCGGUUGAUUGCGAUCAGGAUUUUCAGGCCGAUGAAUCUGGAAGUCAUGAAAAUGAAAAGUCUUAGCUUUGGAAUUUCACUGCUGCGUCCAUAAGAGUUAUACGGAUUAACAUUGAGUCAUUUCCUUUUCAUCAUCACUGGCAGUCUGGCAGUCUGGCACAAGAACCAAUGAAGAAGAUGAUAAUAUGUAAAAUCGUAAUUUUUUAUUGUAAUGUAACGUAAAUUAUAAAGAUAUUCCGCAGCAAUACGAUAAUUUUAUAUUGCUGAAUGUACGUAUGUGAUAAAAUAUUUUGAAACUCAUGCCAGUCAUCAAAAGCCAACUCUCGUCAUUUUCCGCCCAAAAAUUUACUCUUGUUUGAUAAAUUCACAACCAAUUUUGUACCAUGCUGGGCGAUACCUACUACAUAUAAUAGCAACAUACAAAAAUUAAAUAAAACAAAACAUCGUGCACAAAAUUAUCCCCUAAAAGGAUUAUUCAUAGGAAUCUACCCAGUAUGCAUAUUGCUUCUAUUACCUAUAGUAGGCACUUUUCGCGAUGUUUAUCUAUCGUAAAUUUUUCCUAGCAAUAAAAUGCUCCUUUCUUUGUGAAGAUUUUCGCGUGUAAAUUUUGUAAAUUAUGUUUAAAAUAAAUGUUACUUUUUCUUAACCGA
This is a long non-coding RNA of Planococcus citri (citrus mealybug), 1422 nucleotides long. RefSeq lists it as uncharacterized. The record is from RefSeq and is a predicted model, not a curated record. Lineage: Eukaryota; Metazoa; Arthropoda; Insecta; Hemiptera; Pseudococcidae. The transcript is spliced from 5 exons.